GAAGGACAUUGAGAAGCAAAUGAGACUGGUGACCUCAUUUGACCCCAGAAUGUUUCCCCUCAUCAUCACCUCUCCACCACCGUGCUCUGCAGCUGGAAUCAGCAAGACCUCAAUCUGAGCCUGACGCUGACCGGUCAACCUGUGAAGUUGAUCACCUGGAUAUUUUCCCAUAAUUCCCUGGGAAGUGAGAAUCGUGUCGUUAAACUUUCACUCAGUUUUUCCUCUUCGUUUGGUGAAUAAUAAAAGUUCAGAACAAACUGA
Xiphophorus hellerii (green swordtail) is the source of this 261-nucleotide long non-coding RNA. RefSeq lists it as uncharacterized. The record is from RefSeq and is a predicted model, not a curated record. The transcript is spliced from 2 exons. Lineage: Eukaryota; Metazoa; Chordata; Actinopteri; Cyprinodontiformes; Poeciliidae.